GACGAACGCUGGCGGCGUGCCUAAUACAUGCAAGUAGAACGCUGAAGCGAGGAGCUUGCUCUUCUUGGAUGAGUUGCGAACGGGUGAGUAACGCGUAGGUAACCUGCCUUGUAGCGGGGGAUAACUAUUGGAAACGAUAGCUAAUACCGCAUAACAAUGGAUGACCCAUGUCAUUUAUUUGAAAGGGGCAAAUGCUCCACUACAAGAUGGACCUGCGUUGUAUUAGCUAGUAGGUGAGGUAACGGCUCACCUAGGCGACGAUACAUAGCCGACCUGAGAGGGUGAUCGGCCACACUGGGACUGAGACACGGCCCAGACUCCUACGGGAGGCAGCAGUAGGGAAUCUUCGGCAAUGGGGGCAACCCUGACCGAGCAACGCCGCGUGAGUGAAGAAGGUUUUCGGAUCGUAAAGCUCUGUUGUAAGUCAAGAACGAGUGUGAGAGUGGAAAGUUCACACUGUGACGGUAGCUUACCAGAAAGGGACGGCUAACUACGUG
Molecule: ribosomal RNA, 497 nt
Filed under: uncultured bacterium
Lineage: Bacteria
Description: partial 16S ribosomal RNA
Rfam family: Bacterial small subunit ribosomal RNA
Source: RNAcentral